GAGAUCAGCGCCAUCGGAGUCACCUCACGACCAACCUCACCCAAGGAGGACAAGGCUUCAACCUCCAAGCUGCUAAAAACCUCUAGCAAGCCCCCAAACACACGGUCACCCUCACAUUCCAGCAAGACUCCAAAUACCCGCUGGCAGUAGCUCCAAUGACUGAAACCCGCUACGUAGAUGACAUCUACGGGGGAGCUGACACAGAGACGGAAGCGAUUGCAAUCGCUAAACAAACCAGGGAACUCUGUGCAGCUGGAUGCUUCCCAUUAACAAAAUGGUCAAGUAACAGCGCUCGGUUACUCGCUACAAUGUCACCAAACGAUCAACCAGUGAACUCGCUACGGGAAAUCGGAGAUACUACGGUGAAGGUCCUCGGAGUUGGCUGGAAUCCUCACCACGAUGUAUUCCAGUUCAACUAUCACUUGGCUGAAGAUCCUCCAGCAACAAAACGGGCAAUCUUGUCUGAAAUUGCUCGUCUGUAUGAUCCUCUCGGUUUCCUCGCUCCGAUCAUCAUCAAAGCCAAGGUGAUCAUGCAAGAACUCUGGCUUGAAAAACUGGGCUGGGAUGAUCAAUUGGCUCCGACACAACUCCACAAGUGGACGGUAUUUCGAGCGGACCUCACCAACCUUGCUAACCUCCGGGUAAACAGAUGGAUUAAUCUCAAGGAGAAUGUGUCUGCAGAGCUCCACGGGUUCUCAGACGCAUCCCAACUCGCUAUGGCUGCGGUGGUCUACCUGAAGGUGACGGAUCUUCAGGGGAAUUCGUCAGUUGCACUUUUAUGCUCCAAAACUCAAGUAGCCCCUCUGAAACCACUCACAAUUCCACGUUUGGAGUUGAACGCUGCCGUACUUCUCACCAGACUUACUCUCUACGUGCGAAAAACACUUAACUUGGAGCAAAUACCAAUCUAUUUGUGGACUGACUCUGCAGUAACCCUCGCUUGGAUACAAAGUCAACCCUCUCGCUGGAAAACUUACGUACGCAACAGGGUUGCGAAAAUACAAGACACUCUUCCUGGAAGCCGCUGGACCUUUAUCGCUGGGAAAAGUAAUCCAGCUGACUGUGCUUCGCGAGGACUGUCAGUUGGCAAACUGCUGAAACACCCGCUUUGGUGGUCGGGUCCAAAAUGGCUCAGUUUGUCCCAAGAAAACUGGCCAACUAUUGAACCACCUGCUACGACCGCAACUCAUCAGGAAGAGAGACCAGGUCUAACCUUCAUGACAUUCGCUAAAACAGAUUCACAUCCUCUGCAAAUUCUCUUAGAACGCUUUUCUCGCUGGGUUUCGCUGGUUCGAACGCUUGGAAUCUGUCUACGUGCCAUCAGCCGAAUGAAAAAGGUGCCACAGUCCUCACUAGCCACCCCGCUAUCUGCUGGAGACCUGGAACCCGCAAAAUGGCUACUGGUCAAAUAUACACAAGGCCAGUACUUCUCAUCGGAACUCAAGCUGCUUUCUGACGGGGGAUUCCUACCAAAAAAUCACCCACUCGCCAAGCUGACCCCCUUUGUCGACUAUCACGGAAUUUUGAGAGUCGGUGGCCGCUUGAAAAAUUCGCUAUUGGACAGUCAGCAGAAAAAUCCAGCGAUUCUGCCUAGAUACUCACUGCUGACGUCACUCCUCAUCGAUCAUGCUCACAAACGGAACUUUCACGGGGGAACGCAAUUGACUCUGGCUGCGUUACGCCAAUCCUACUGGAUUAUUGGUGGCCGCGUACCAGUCAGAUCUCACAUCUUACGCUGCGUAGUCUGUGCUAGACACCGAGGUGUUCGAGCACAGCAAUUGAUGGGACAACUGCCCCCCUCUAGAGUGACUCCCGCACGAGCGUUUCUACAUACAGGAUUAGACUACGCUGGGCCAGUCACUCUGAAAACCUUCCAGGGUCGUGGAGCGAAAACUUACAAGGGGUGGAUUGCAGUUUUCGUGUGCUUCACGACCUCCGCUAUACAUCUGGAACUCGUCACGGACUACUCUACAGGCGCAUUCAUCGCAGCGUAUCGGAGGUUCGCAAGUCGCCGGGGCGUCUGCCACACCAUUUAUUCGGACUGUGGUACAAACUUUGUGGGUGCAGAUGCAACUCUAAGGGCUGAAUUCGCAUCAGGAUCAAAAUCACUGGGAGAACUUUCACAUUUACUGGCUACAGAUGGCACAACCUGGAAGUUCAAUCCGCCUGGAGCUCCGCACUUUGGAGGUAAAUGGGAAGCUGCCGUCAAGUCUAUCAAAUUCCAUCUCACAAGAACUAUCGGAGAGCAUCUGAUGACUUACGAGCAGCUCACUACGGUGUUGACACAGAUCGAAGCCGUGGUAAAUUCUCGGCCUCUCGCCCCACUCUCGGAAGAUCCUGCCGACCUGGAACCACUAACUCCAGGUCACUUCCUCAUUGGAGAACCACUCACCGCUGUUCCGGAACCUUCGCUACCUUCAACAACGGAAUCGACGCUAACUGGGUACAAGUUGCUACAGCAACUGUUGCAACAGUUUUGGAGACGUUGGAGCAACGAAGUGCUUCAACGUCAUCAGGGCAUCUCCAAAUGGCAUCGGGCGUCCAACGACAUCAAAGUUGGCUCUCUGGUGCUCCUCACAGAUGAGCGGUUCCCACCUACCAAAUGGCCACUCGCUAGGGUAAUCGCUAUCCACCCAGGGAAGGACGGACAUACCCGCGUAGUGACACUGAAGACAGCUACCACGGAAUUGACCCGACCAAUUGCGAAACUAUGUGUUCUGCCCAUUGAAGAUCUUGACGUCUCAGCCGUCAACCCGGGGGAGAAUGUUCAGUCAACACCCAAACUGCCCGGGCGAAGCGAAGUUCGGCUUACCCGCAGCAAGAAGGCAGCACUAAGCAGAGCACAGAUCACCCGACAAUCGAUAGCCAAUCAAUGAAUCUCUAGUUCAAAUUCACUGACACUUGCGCAUUUCGCUAUUCUCUGACGUCAUUCGCUAUGAAUUUUCUGAUUGGCUCUUAGCUAUGGGACAUCGGAAGAGCGUUGUGAG
Molecule: unclassified non-coding RNA, 2987 nt
Filed under: Neodiprion lecontei (redheaded pine sawfly)
Lineage: Eukaryota; Metazoa; Arthropoda; Insecta; Hymenoptera; Diprionidae
Description: uncharacterized LOC124293839, transcript variant X1
Source: RNAcentral